GAUGAACGCUGGCGGCGUGCCUAACACAUGCAAGUCGAACGGAGUUAUGAAGCUUUCGGACGGAUUAACUUAGUGGCGGACGGGUGAGUAACGCGUGGGUAACCUGCCUCAUACAGGGGGAUAACAGUUGGAAACGACUGCUAAAACCGCAUAACAUUGCGAUGCCGCAUGGCGAUGCAAUUCAAUAUUUAUAGGUAUGAGAUGGGCCCGCGUCUGAUUAGCUAGUUGGUGAGGUAAUGGCUCACCAAGGCGACGAUCAGUAGCCGGCUUGAGAGAGUGACCGGCCACAUUGGGACUGAGACACGGCCCAAACUCCUACGGGAGGCAGCAGUGGGGAAUAUUGCACAAUGGGCGAAAGCCUGAUGCAGCGACGCCGCGUGAGUGAAGAAGUAUUUCGGUAUGUAAAGCUCUAUCAGCAGGGAAGAUAAUGACGGUACCUGACUAAGAAGCCCCGGCUAACUACGUGCCAGCCGCCGCGGUAA
Molecule: ribosomal RNA, 482 nt
Filed under: uncultured bacterium
Lineage: Bacteria
Description: partial 16S ribosomal RNA
Rfam family: Bacterial small subunit ribosomal RNA
Source: RNAcentral